UUAGCUACAGGCUUAACACAUGCAAGUCGAGGGGCAGCAUGGUCUUAGCUUGCUAAGGCCGAUGGCGACCGGCGCACGGGUGAGUAACACGUAUCCAACCUGCCGUCUACUCUUGGACAGCCUUCUGAAAGGAAGAUUAAUACAAGAUGGCAUCAUGAGUCCGCAUGUUCACAUGAUUAAAGGUAUUCCGGUAGACGAUGGGGAUGCGUUCCAUUAGAUAGUAGGCGGGGUAACGGCCCACCUAGUCUUCGAUGGAUAGGGGUUCUGAGAGGAAGGUCCCCCACAUUGGAACUGAGACACGGUCCAAACUCCUACGGGAGGCAGCAGUGAGGAAUAUUGGUCAAUGGGCGAGAGCCUGAACCAGCCAAGUAGCGUGAAGGAUGACUGCCCUAUGGGUUGUAAACUUCUUUUAUAAAGGAAUAAAGUCGGGUAUGCAUACCCGUUUGCAUGUACUUUAUGAAUAAGGAUCGGCUAACUCCGUGCCAGCAGCCGCGGUAAUACGGAGGGUCCGAGCGUUAUCCGGAUUUAUUGGGUUUAAAGGGAGCGUAGAUGGAUGUUUAAGUCAGUUGUGAGAGUUUGCGGCUCAACCGUAAAAUUGCAGUUGAUACUGGAUAUCUUGAGUGCAGUUGAGGCAGGCGGAAUUCGUGGUGUAGCGGUGAAAUGCUUAGAUAUCACGAAGAACUCCGAUUGCGAAGGCAGCCUGCUAAGCUGCAACUGACAUUGAGGCUCGAAAGUGUGGGUAUCAAACAGGAUUAGAUACCCUGGUAGUCCACACGGUAAACGGUGAAUACUCGCUGUUUGCGAUAUACAGCAAGCGGCCAAGCGAAAGCGUUAAGUAUUCCACCUGGGGAGUACGCCGGCAACGGUGAAACUCAAAGGAAUUGACGGGGGCCCGCACAAGCGGAGGAACAUGUGGUUUAAUUCGAUGAUACGCGAGGAACCUUACCCGGGCUUAAAUUGCAGAUGAAUUACGGUGAAAGCCGUAAGCCGCAAGGCAUCUGUGAAGGUGCUGCAUGGUUGUCGUCAGCUCGUGCCGUGAGGUGUCGGCUUAAGUGCCAUAACGAGCGCAACCCUUGUUGUCAGUUACUAACAGGUUCCGCUGAGGACUCUGACAAGACUGCCAUCGUAAGAUGUGAGGAAGGUGGGGAUGACGCCAAAUCAGCACGGCCCUUACGUCCGGGGCUACACACGUGUUACAAUGGGGGGUACAGAGGGCCGCUACCACGCGAGUGGAUGCCAAUCCCAAAAACCUCUUUCAGUUCGGACUGGAGUCUGCAACCCGACUCCACGAAGCUGGAUUCGCUAGUAAUCGCGCAUCAGCCACGGCGCGGUGAAUACGUUCCCGGGCCUUGUACACACCGCCCGUCAAGCCAUGGGAGCCGGGGGUACCUGAAGUGCGUAACCGCGAGGAGCGCCCUAGGGUAAAACUGGUGACUGGGGCUAAGUCGUA
Molecule: ribosomal RNA, 1450 nt
Filed under: uncultured organism
Description: SSU rRNA
Rfam family: Bacterial small subunit ribosomal RNA
Source: RNAcentral